Molecule: non-coding RNA, 91 nt
Organism: Podarcis lilfordi (Lilford's wall lizard)
Lineage: Eukaryota; Metazoa; Chordata; Lepidosauria; Squamata; Lacertidae
Source: the annotation of a GenBank genome assembly
CCUCCAGAUGUUGCUGAACUGCAACUCCCAUCAGCCCCAGCAAGCAUGACUUGGGAUUAUGGGAGUUGUAGUUCAGCAUCAUCUGGAGGGC